AUUUUAUCGAAUUUACUGUAUAGAUGAAAAAGUCUAUAAAUCCAAAAAAGACGAGAAGACCCUUAGAAUUUAAAUAAAACCGAAUAGUUUUUCGUAAUAUUUUUGUUGGGGCGACAAGAAGACAAUUAACUUUAACUCUUCUGAUAAUAUAAGACGAUUAGUAAUAAGGUCGGAUAAAUUACCUGAGGGAUAACAGCAUAAUUUUAUGAUUAAGUUUGUGACCUCGAUGUUGGACUAGGAAAUUAAUAGACUAGCCGUUUAUUAUAUUGGUUCUGUUCGAACUGUUUUUCCUACAUGAUCUGAGUUCAAACCGGAGA
This 317-nucleotide ribosomal RNA is filed under the name Pleurehdera stellata. RNAcentral describes it as "partial large subunit ribosomal RNA". The record is from RNAcentral. Lineage: Eukaryota; Metazoa; Mollusca; Gastropoda; Pleurobranchida; Pleurobranchidae.